UUUGGGAUAUCAUCAUAUACUGUAAGUUUGUUUUAAGACACUACAGUAUAGAUGAUGUACUA
This is a microRNA precursor of Xenopus tropicalis (tropical clawed frog), 62 nucleotides long. Ensembl annotates it as xtr-mir-144. Its record names the gene xtr-mir-144. Lineage: Eukaryota; Metazoa; Chordata; Amphibia; Anura; Pipidae. The record is from Ensembl.